CCUACGGGUGGCAGCAGUGAGGAAUAUUGGUCAAUGGACGAGAGUCUGAACCAGCCAAGUAGCGUGAAGGAUGACUGCCCUAUGGGUUGUAAACUUCUUUUAUAAAGGAAUAAAACGAGGCACGUGUGCCUUUUUGCAUGUACUUUAUGAAUAAGGAUCGGCUAACUCCGUGCCAGCAGCCGCGGUAAUACGGAGGAUCCGAGCGUUAUCCGGAUUUAUUGGGUUUAAAGGGAGCGUAGAUGGGUUGUUAAGUCAGUUGUGAAAGUUUGCGGCUCAACCGUAAAAUUGCAAUUGAUACUGGCAGUCUAGAGUACAGUUGAGGUAGGCGGAAUUCGUGGUGUAGCGGUGAAAUGCUUAGAUAUCACGAAGAACCCCGAUUGCGAAGGCAGCUUACUAGACUGUGACUGACAUUGAUGCUCGAAAGUGUGGGUAUCAAACAGGAUUAGAUACCCUUGUAGUC
RNAcentral lists this ribosomal RNA (460 nucleotides) under uncultured bacterium. RNAcentral's name for it is "partial 16S ribosomal RNA". It matches the Rfam family "Bacterial small subunit ribosomal RNA", at positions 338 to 795 of the family's 1533-position model. The record is from RNAcentral.